CGGUACGGAUCAUCCCAGGCUGAUCCUCGGGGGUAGAAAUGAGGAGAUCAAAGGGUUCGGUCCAUUCCCAUCGCCAAAGAGAGAGAGCAAGAAAUGACACUAUAAGCAGAGAUGCUGCCUGGAAAACCAGCAAGGAGAAAAACCCCCAAAAACCACCAAAGAAAACACCGCAGAACUGCCCAGGGAAACACAAAGUUUGGCUUCCUUCCUCCCCUCGGUGCUGGCAGGUUUGGAGGUUUCAUGACGUAAACGGUGCCUUUUGAAGGCACUCUGAAAAGACUUUCUUGCCAAACUGCUUGGUUAAAACUGGACUCGCAGCCCACUAUAAACGAAAACAACAAUUUAUUGCUUUACAAGUUGUGGCGUUGGUCAUCCACUUCACAAGGCAUCAUCUG
Molecule: long non-coding RNA, 395 nt
Organism: Numida meleagris (helmeted guineafowl)
Lineage: Eukaryota; Metazoa; Chordata; Aves; Galliformes; Numididae
Exons: 3
Source: RefSeq, a predicted model, not a curated record